UUCCGGUGACUUAGUGGUUAGAGCGUCCGCUUCGGAUGCGGGAAGUCGCGGGUUCAAACCACGGCCUAGUCAU
Molecule: non-coding RNA, 73 nt
Organism: Potamilus streckersoni
Lineage: Eukaryota; Metazoa; Mollusca; Bivalvia; Unionida; Unionidae
Source: the annotation of a GenBank genome assembly